Molecule: long non-coding RNA, 1324 nt
Filed under: Bos indicus x Bos taurus (hybrid cattle)
Lineage: Eukaryota; Metazoa; Chordata; Mammalia; Artiodactyla; Bovidae
Description: lncRNA (ENSBIXG00000020061.1)
Source: RNAcentral
CAGGUGUCAGCCUGGACACUCUCCAAGUGCCUCCUCAGGGGGAUUGAGGGGCCUUCUUGUUUGGGAACAGUGAUCUUUUGUUAACACACACACAGAAAGUCAGUUACUCCUCACAGAGUCUGCUGAGGCAGGGCAAGCCCUACAUACAAAUGCUCAGGUGGUGGGGAGAGAGAGAGGAAGAUGGCUUGCAAACACGUGAGCGGUGAUGAGAGCAAACUCAGGAAACCGUAUAGCCUCCAUGCUGAGAUGUGCAUGUGUUCCCAUGGGGUCCACUGACUGAGGGAGACCAUGGCACUGGGAUGAAAGAAGAAUUGCACGGAGAUUCGAGCUCACACAGAUAUGUUAACCAACCUGGAUUUAAAUUCAAAAUCCGUAUGCAGGUCAAGAAGCAACAGUUAGAACAGGACAUGGAACAAAGGACUGGUUCAAAAUUGGGAAAGAAGUAUAUCAAAGCUGUAUAUUGUCACUCUGCUUAUUUAACUUAUAUGCAGAGUACAUCAUAUGAAAUGCCAGGCUGGAUAAAGCACAAGCUGGAAUCAAGAUUGCCAGGAGAAAUAUCAAUAACUUCAGAUAUACAGAUGACAUCACCCUUAUGGCAGGAAGCAAAGAAGAAGUAAAGAGCCUUCUGAUGAAGAUGAAAGAGGAGAGUGAAAAGGCUGCCUUAAAAUUCAACAUUCAGAAAAAGAUCAUGGCAUCCAGUCCCAUCACUUUAUAACAAAUAGAUGGCACUGCAGAUGGUGACUGCAGCCAUGAACUUAAGAUUCUUACUCCUUGGAAGAAAAGCUAUGACCAAGCUAGACAGCAUAUUAAAAAGCAGAGACAUUACUUUGCUUAAAAAGGUCCAUCUAGUUAGAGCCUGGAGAAUCCCAAGGACAGAGGAGCCUGUUGGGCUGCCGUCUAUGGGGUCGCACAGAGUCAGACACAACUGCCGCAACUUAGCAGCAGCAGCAGCAGCAGCAGCAGUUAAAGCUAUGGUUUUUCCAGGAGUCAUGUAUGACUGUGAGAACUGGACCAUAAGGGAGGCUGAGCACUAAAGAAUUGAUGCUUUUGAACUGUGGUGCUGGAGAAGACUCUUUAGAGUCCCUUGGACUGCAAGGAGAUCCAACCAGUCCAUCCUAAAGGAAAUCAGUCCUGAAUAUUCAUUGGAAGGACUGAUGCUGAAGCUGAAGCUCCAGUACUUUGGCCACCUGAUGCAAAGAGCCGACUCCUUAGAAAAGACCCUGAUACUGGGAAAGAUUGAAGGCAGGAGGAGAAGGAAAUGAUAGAGGACAAGAUAGUUGGGUGACAUCACCAACUCAAUAAACAUGAGUUUGAACAAGCUCCA